CUGAAACACGGCCCAAACUCCUACGGGAGGCAGCAGUAAGGAAUCUUCCGCAAUGGACGAAAGUCUGACGGAACAACGCCGCGUGAACGAUGAAGGCCUUCGGGUCGUAAAGUUCUGUUGGCAGGGAAGAACAAGUACCGGAAUAACUGCCGGUACCUUGACGGUACCUGACCAGAAAGCCACGGCUAACUACGUGCCAACAGCCGCGGUAAUACGUAAGUGGCAAGCGUUGUCCGGAAUUAUUGGGCGUAAAGCGCGCGCAGGCGGUUCCUUUAAGUCUGAAGUGAAAGCCCCCGGCUCAACCGGGGAGGGUCAUUGGAAACUGGGGAACUUGAGUGCAGAAGAAGAAAACGGAAUUCCACGUGUAGCGGUGAAAUGCGUAGAGAUGUGGAGGAACACCAGUGGCGAAGGCGGCUCUCUGGUCUGGAACUGACGCUGAAGCGCGAAAAGCGUGGGGGAGCGAACAGGAUUAGAUACCCCUGGUAGUCCACGCCGUAAAACGAUGAGUGCUAAGUGGUUAGAAGGGUUUCCGCCCCUUUAGUGCUGCAGCAAAACGCAUUAAAGCACUUCCGCCCUGGGGGAGUACGGGCCGCCAAGGCUGAAAACUCCAAAGGGAAUUGGACGGGGGGCCCGCACCAAGCGGUGGGAAGCAUGGGGGUUUUAAUUUCGAAAGCAACGCCGAAAAAAACCUUUACCAGGGUCUUGGACAUCCUUCUGAACAACCCCUAAAAGAA
RNAcentral lists this ribosomal RNA (734 nucleotides) under bacterium. RNAcentral's name for it is "bacterial SSU rRNA". It matches the Rfam family "Bacterial small subunit ribosomal RNA", at positions 319 to 1010 of the family's 1533-position model. The record is from RNAcentral.